Molecule: signal recognition particle RNA, 298 nt
Filed under: Cebus imitator (Panamanian white-faced capuchin)
Lineage: Eukaryota; Metazoa; Chordata; Mammalia; Primates; Cebidae
Description: Metazoan signal recognition particle RNA (ENSCCAG00000008529.1)
Rfam family: Metazoan signal recognition particle RNA
About the family: The signal recognition particle (SRP) is a universally conserved ribonucleoprotein. It is involved in the co-translational targeting of proteins to membranes.
Source: RNAcentral
GCCCCGCGCGGUGGCGCUGCCUGUAGUCCCAGCUACUCGGGAGGCUGAGGCUGGAGGAUGACUUGCACCCAGGAGUUCUGGGCUGUAGUGUGCUACGCUGAUUGGGUGUCCGCACUAAGUUCGGCAUCAAUAUGGUGACCUCCCAGGAGCGGGGGACCACCAGGUUGCCUAAGGAGGGGUGAAACGGCCCAGGUUGGAAACGGAGCAGGUCAAAACUCCCGUGCUGAUCAGUAGUGGGAUCGCGUCUGUGAAUAGCCACUGCACUCCAGCCUGUACAGCACAGCGAGACCUCAUCUCU